GAUGAACGCUGGCGGCGUGCCUAAUACAUGCAAGUCGAGCGAACAGAUGAGGAGCUUGCUCCUCUGACGUUAGCGGCGGACGGGUGAGUAACACGUGGAUAACCUACCUAUAAGACUGGGAUAACUUCGGGAAACCGGAGCUAAUACCGGAUAAUAUAUUGAACCGCAUGGUUCAAUAGUGAAAGACGGUUUUGCUGUCACUUAUAGAUGGAUCCGCGCCGCAUUAGCUAGUUGGUAAGGUAACGGCUUACCAAGGCAACGAUGCGUAGCCGACCUGAGAGCGAGAGGGGGGAGAAGGGAAGGGAGAUGCGGAAAGGACGACUACGGGACGCAGCAGGGGGGAAUGUGUGAGAAGGGGCGAAAGACGGAAAAAGAAAUGUAGAGGGAGAGAAGAAGGGCUUAGGAUAGUAAAAAAGUGGGAAUAGGGAAGAAAAAGAAGGGAAUGACAAAGGGAGGGGCUGAAGGGACGGAAAGAGUAAGAAAAGGCGAAAUAGGGG
RNAcentral lists this ribosomal RNA (497 nucleotides) under uncultured bacterium. Its description in RNAcentral is "partial 16S ribosomal RNA". The stretch from base 16 to 379 matches the Rfam family "Bacterial small subunit ribosomal RNA", at positions 43 to 396 of the family's 1533-position model. The record is from RNAcentral.